GGGGGCGACCUGGUUUCGACGUGGGUUGCGAAACAGCUCGGUGCAUGUCAAGGUCCAGUCACCUUGUAAAUCAGCUGGAAAACGUACAGUCGCAAACGACGAACGUUACGCUCUAGCCGCCUAAUACCGGUUAGACUCCGCACCAACUUUCUCUCGGGUUGGGUUGGGUAACCAACAGCGGAGUCAUAAACGAGAGAUCGUGGAAUCCGGGGUUACUUCGGAUCUCAUCAAACUCAAGGUAACUCGUUGAGCUCAGGGCUGUCGAUCAUCCUGAUCUCGACUAAACUCAAUGAUCUGACUAAGCAUGUAGUACCGACUGCAGAGGACUUGCGGACGGGAGUUCGAUUCUCCCCGCCUCCACCA
Molecule: transfer-messenger RNA, 363 nt
Filed under: Burkholderiales
Lineage: Bacteria; Pseudomonadati; Pseudomonadota; Betaproteobacteria
Also listed under: 2 other names
Description: UBA3031 sp002367635 Standard tmRNA
Rfam family: transfer-messenger RNA
About the family: Bacterial tmRNA, also known as 10Sa RNA or SsrA, is named for its dual tRNA and mRNA-like properties. Its role is to liberate the mRNA from a stalled ribosome. To accomplish this part of the tmRNA is used as a reading frame that ends in a translation stop signal.
Source: RNAcentral